RNAcentral lists this transfer RNA (77 nucleotides) under Chthonomonadales bacterium. RNAcentral's name for it is "tRNA-Met". It matches the Rfam family "tRNA". From Rfam's summary of the family: Transfer RNA (tRNA) molecules are approximately 80 nucleotides in length. Their secondary structure includes four short double-helical elements and three loops (D, anti-codon, and T loops). Further hydrogen bonds mediate the characteristic L-shaped molecular structure. tRNAs have two regions of fundamental functional importance: the anti-codon, which is responsible for specific mRNA codon recognition, and the 3' end, to which the tRNAs corresponding amino acid is attached (by aminoacyl-tRNA synthetases). tRNAs cope with the degeneracy of the genetic code in two manners: having more than one tRNA (with a specific anti-codon) for a particular amino acid; and 'wobble' base-pairing, i.e. permitting non-standard base-pairing at the 3rd anti-codon position. The record is from RNAcentral. Lineage: Bacteria; Bacillati; Armatimonadota; Chthonomonadia; Chthonomonadales.
UGCGGGGUGGAGCAGUCUGGUAGCUCGUCGGGCUCAUAACCCGAAGGUCGCAGGUUCGAGUCCUGCCCCCGCUCCCA